RNAcentral lists this long non-coding RNA (2568 nucleotides) under Megachile rotundata (alfalfa leafcutting bee). RNAcentral describes it as "uncharacterized LOC105662254". Lineage: Eukaryota; Metazoa; Arthropoda; Insecta; Hymenoptera; Megachilidae. The record is from RNAcentral.
ACUCGGCUGCAAUGUAGGCUCAUAACGAGUGAAGCCAAGACUUCUAUUUUGGAGGAUUCCAAAUUUUCAGAGUUAAACAUUUUUUAACUAAAAGUUUUAAAUAGCAAAACAUUUAAAAAAUCAACAAGUGAUGGUGCCAUUUUUACCAACAUACUCGCGAGUGUGCACUUCAUUCUACUUUUAACUGCCUGCUGUCUGUUUCUGGCUUGGUACCACCUGGUCAAAUGGAUCCAAAGCUGUUCACGACAUUCUGUACAGUCUGUGGUAUCAGGAAAUUAGUGAAUGAUUGAAUGCUUCUCGAUAAUAGGCUGCGUUUGGUUGACUUUGGAUCCUCUAGGUCAGACACGUUUUUAUCUUGUCCUUAUACCUUGCUUCGUUGUGAAGCGCUGAAUAUAAAUGCUGAUCGUUCACCGAUCGCUCUUCGUAAUUGUCCAAGAAAUCUUUGGAUUUCUUAACCUUUCUUGUCAUGGAAUAUUCCAAUAUAAUGCUACACAAGAUUUUCCUAUUAUCAAUUACUCACGGUGAUAAGCGUUACCGGUCAGAUUCGCUGAAAAUUUUCUGUGUCGAGUACAUCAUGCAACUGGCACAUUUUCUUUUACCUUCAUUAUUCGUGUAAUCAGAAUGUACAAGAAGUAUGUAUCAUGUGCGUUAUGUAUGUUCUUCAACAUAGUCAAGAUGGACUUUCUUCAAUAAUUAUGUGUACUGUAAUAUUUAAGAAUAUUAUACACGUGGGUAAAAAAUGAUGGAUCAAAUGGCUGGAUCUCAAAUGAAUCGAAUCAUAACAGUCAACUGAAAUACGAGUGGAAGACAAAAAUCUGGCGACAGGCUGGAUGACAUUUCGACGGAUCGGCAGUUUCCAAAGCUGACGCGAGCUCUGUUCGCGUCUACGAACUUUCCGAUGUGAUCGGAAUAUAAUUCGUGCGAGGAUUUACGAGAAUGCAUAACGAUUCGAAUAGCAAUUCGAACUACGUAGAUAGCGAUACGUUGCCCAGGGCGGAAGGUGUAAACGAGAAAAUCAAAGGAACUUUGGGAAGAACCUCUUCUUUAUUACUUCAUUCAAAUACUAAAGUUAAUCUUGCCUUAUGUACAGUUUCUUUUUACUUAUUAAUUAAAUCAGUUUGCUAGAAGUAUUUUUUGCUGGCUAUGAGUCUUCUGCACAAAAUUUGUUAUUCUACAUUCAAUGCCUCAAAAUACCAUAAUGAUAACUCUAAUCAAUAUUAACAAUAAUAGUGUACUUUAGAACUGAAGAUAGUCUUACGAGGAUGCAGCUGCAGAGUCAUAGAUUUUACUAAAAGGCGUCGAUUGACCGACUGUCAUUAAGGAAUUACUUGUUAAAGUCGUAUGAAGAGACUCAGUUAGUUUAAUAUUGGCCGGAUGUCGAAUAAUACUUUCUGAUAAGUGACGAGAAGGUAUGCGAAGAUUCUUAUCUUUCCACGUAACACCGGUACGUAACACCGUGUGUAAUCGUGAGUUAAUUCGGUUCUGAAGAAUGUUUACCUAACUUGAGUGUGAUUCUAUAAGUAUGUUUGAUGGAGUGGAGAAUGUUUGUUAACAAUUUUCAAGGUCAGUAACAAUGAGUGGAUGAAACUGUAUAAAUUGAGGAUAGUAAAAAGUGUCAUUGGGGAGAAAUGGACGUUGAAUGGAGCAUGAAAUGCAUGUGUUGGAAGUGGAUGCGUUUGUAAGAUUUUAAAGUAACUUUCAUUUCUUAAAAUAUUAUUUCAUUUACUCAAGCGAUUUUGUAUUAUGUAUUCAAAUAUUUAAGAGAAUUAUAUGUUUUCCUGUGCUGCAUUAUUUUUCAAUUUCCCGCCUGUUUUUUGCGGGAAUUUCAAACGUAAUGCAAGUUUCAGAGUAAUAAUUCAUCAAUCAUGCAAAUGUCAGUAGAGUUUUUUAAAUAAACGAAUAAGUGACAGAAUGUUAUGGGGGUCAACGGGGUUUAAAAGAAGCCUCGUUCUCGCUGUUUGUAUCUUUUCGUCGGGAUGGAUGCGUUUCUCGGUUAGAAUUGCCGGACCAAGGGGAUUCACCGGAGAAAAAGCUCGAAAGAUUUGUACCUUAUGAAAAAUAUGGUAAUGUACAGGGUGAGCGGCCACGUUCGAUACCGUGGUUGUUCUCACCCAAUGGGAGACCAAGAUUCCACAAAGAUUUUGAGGCUUCAGACAGGACGCGUAAUUUGAAAAGUUCUGCAAAACAUGCAGAAAUGUUGAUCAACUUUAUUCUUUGUUUAUGAAGAGUUUAUUAGGAGGAAGGGAAGUCACGAUAUUUCAGGAGCUUCUCCGGGAAAAAUCGUUUAAUCAAGCUUUCAGUGCUUCAUAGUUACUCUCGAUUUUACAAUUGUCCACGGUCUUAUAUUUUUAAAACUGUUCACGAGGAAUUUUAAUAUGUAUCAGGUCUUUUCAGAUGGUUUCUAUAAAAAGUCAUUUUCAGUUGGAGGAUUGAAGACUAUGUCAGGAGGAAAAUGACUAUAUGAAUGAUUCAUUGAUAUUGUUAAUAGAAAGCUAAUAAUUCUAUUAAAUGACUAAUUCUUGAUUCUACAAAACUAGCAUGAUCUCAUGAGAUAAAAGAUGGCACACC